UUAAAAAUAUUUGGUAAGUGGGCAUUCUGCCAAGUUUCGCAUUGAUUUGUUGUCCAUUAGAAUAGAAUUUUUUUUUCCUGUUCAAUUUUAAUGUUAUUUAGAAUUGUCAAAUACGUGAAAACUCAGGUGACAAUGUAGAGGAACAACAUAAAGACCAAUUUGAAUAAGACAAAAUACAUAUAUAGAUUGAAUAAAUUAUGUUAGAUCUUACAGUAUACUAUAGUUUUGGUCUAAACCUGUUGAAAUGCAAGGAAAUAUUUGCAAUAGCGACAGUUCGAAAAAUUUCUCUCAAGUUGAUUGAACCCACUGGCUUCACAUCACAUGCCACUUUUUUUUUGGACCAGCAUUGUCCCAUGUGCCCACAUCCGCUGGUUGUGUAUCAUAAUCCUUCAAUGAGAAUAUAAAUAAAACAUUAGCACAUCUCAUUUGCUUUGCUCCAUGACCAUAUGUUUUCUUCACGUAACUGAAGUUGAUGAGUUCCAAACAUAAAAAGGAAAAAGUUAUCCGUUAGCUUUCAAACUUUAGAGACUUCAUGACCAGAUUCAUUCUCCAAUAUAUUGCGGCAAGUAGUUUGAAGAGAAUAGCCACCGCCUUGAUUAGGACUCACAUCUGGAAGUUAAUAAGAAAAGAAUGAAUGCAAGGUUGUGACUGUUUUUUUUUUUUUUUCCCACCCAUUUAGGAGGAUUUAUAGUGUUUCCACACUUCCCCUCCAUUGUGACUCGAACCCAGGACCUACCGGUUGUGACUGUUGGGUUGUGCGUAUGCGUUUUUUUUUUUUUUUUUUUUAAUUAUUAGAGUAUUUAUUAGUUUAAUAUAGGGGCAUUUAAGUAAUUUAACUUUCAAGUUGGAGAGUUCAUGCUUAUAAUCUAUAUAUAAUAUAAAGCUAGGCAUAGACAAGGUGAUGUGACACCUCUCUAUGGCCAGCAUUGCUCUUUAUCUUUUUUGUGGUUUUUUUGCCUUUUUCUCCUAUUUUUUCUGUUUUUUAAAUAUUUAAAAGUGGCUAAAUAAUUACAUAAUUAACUGAGAAGGAAAUAAUUGCAUUAUUAAAUGAGGGGAAGCUUGAAAGUUUCCAGCAUAUGAACCCACGAUUUAACUGUUACCAGAAGCUUAAAAGUUUCCAGCAUAUUACUAUUUCUUUAUUGGCAAUAGAAGAAUGGGCCAUUUCAAGGGUUGCUGGUUUCUUAUUUUCCAAGAAGAAGAUUCACGAGACUUUUAGAAUAAUUUGGUAUGAAGAGCAUUACAUCAUCGAAUACAUGAUUGUUCUCAAAACUCUUAGAAGCUAGAUAAGGUCGAUGUGAUCAGAGAGAGGCUCACGGCUAACAAGCACGUGUGUUCAUAAUUUUUUUAUGGACAAUGUAUUCAAUAUCUUUGUGUAUUAAAGAAGAAAAAAAUGGCUGGCUUUAAAAUUAUUCCUUAAUAUUUUAUUGAUCGGCAUGUAAAUAUCAUUAGCUUUCUUAAAUUGAUUUACUUCGUACUUUUCGACUUGUAAUUUUUUGAAAUUUUAAUAUUUUUAUUUGUGUCAA
Molecule: long non-coding RNA, 1523 nt
Organism: Lycium barbarum (goji berry)
Lineage: Eukaryota; Viridiplantae; Streptophyta; Magnoliopsida; Solanales; Solanaceae
Exons: 3
Source: RefSeq, a predicted model, not a curated record